AGUGAACGCUGGCGGUAGGCCUAACACAUGCAAGUCGAACGGCAGCACAGUAAGAGCUUGCUCUUACGGGUGGCGAGUGGCGGACGGGUGAGGAAUACAUCGGAAUCUACUUUUUCGUGGGGGAUAACGUAGGGAAACUUACGCUAAUACCGCAUACGACCUACGGGUGAAAGCAGGGGAUCUUCGGACCUUGCGCGAUUGAAUGAGCCGAUGUCGGAUUAGCUAGUUGGCGGGGUAAAGGCCCACCAAGGCGACGAUCCGUAGCUGGUCUGAGAGGAUGAUCAGCCACACUGGAACUGAGACACGGUCCAGACUCCUACGGGAGGCAGCAGUGGGGAAUAUUGGACAAUGGGCGCAAGCCUGAUCCAGCCAUACCGCGUGGGUGAAGAAGGCCUUCGGGUUGUAAAGCCCUUUUGUUGGGAAAGAAAAGCAGCAGGUUAAUACCCCGCUGUUCGGACGGUACCCAAAGAAUAAGCACCGGCUACUUCGUG
Molecule: ribosomal RNA, 491 nt
Filed under: uncultured bacterium
Lineage: Bacteria
Description: partial 16S ribosomal RNA
Rfam family: Bacterial small subunit ribosomal RNA
Source: RNAcentral